Molecule: ribosomal RNA, 1355 nt
Filed under: uncultured bacterium
Lineage: Bacteria
Description: bacterial SSU rRNA
Rfam family: Bacterial small subunit ribosomal RNA
Source: RNAcentral
AUUGAACGCUGGCGGCAGGCCUAAGACAUGCAAGUCGAGCGAGAAAGCCCUUCGGGGUGAGUACAGCGGCGGACGGGUGAGUAACGCGUAGGAAUCUACCCAGUAGUGGGGGACAACUAGUGGAAACGCUAGCUAAUACCGCAUACGCCCUAAGGGGGAAAGCGGGGGAUCUUCGGACCUCGUGCUAUUGGAUGAGCCUGCGUAAGAUUAGCUUGUUGGUGAGGUAAUGGCUCACCAAGGCUACGAUCUUUAGCUGGUCUGAGAGGAUGAUCAGCCACACCGGGACUGAGACACGGCCCGGACUCCUACGGGAGGCAGCAGUCGGGAAUAUUGCGCAAUGGGGGAAACCCUGACGCAGCCAUGCCGCGUGUGUGAAGAAGGCCCUAGGGUUGUAAAGCACUUUCAAUUGGGAGGAAAAGCUAAUGGUUAAUAGCCAUUAGCCCUGACGUUACCUUUAGAAGAAGCACCGGCUAACUCCGUGCCAGCAGCCGCGGUAAUACGGAGGGUGCAAGCGUUAAUCGGAAUUACUGGGCGUAAAGCGCGCGUAGGCGGCUCUUUAAGUCGGAUGUGAAAGCCCCGGGCUCAACCUGGGAACUGCAUCCGAUACUGGAGGGCUAGAGUGUAGGAGAGGGAGGUAGAAUUCCAUGUGUAGCAGUGAAAUGCGUAGAUAUAUGGAGGAAUACCAGUGGCGAAGGCGGCCUCCUGGCUUAACACUGACGCUGAGGUGCGAAAGCGUGGGGAGCAAACGGGAUUAGAUACCCCGGUAGUCCACGCCGUAAACGAUGUCUACUAGCUGUAGGGGUACUUGAGACCUUUGUAGCGCAGCUAACGCACUAAGUAGACCGCCUGGGGAGUACGGCCGCAAGGUUAAAACUCAAAUGAAUUGACGGGGGCCCGCACAAGCAGUGGAGCAUGUGGUUUAAUUCGAUGCAACGCGAAGAACCUUACCAGGCCUUGACAUCCCCGGAACUUUCUAGAGAUAGAUUGGUGCCUUCGGGAACCGGGUGACAGGUGCUGCAUGGCUGUCGUCAGCUCGUGUCGUGAGAUGUUGGGUUAAGUCCCGUAACGAGCGCAACCCUUGUCCUUAGUUGCCAGCACAUAAUGGUGGGAACUCUAAGGAGACUGCCGGUGACAAACCGGAGGAAGGUGGGGACGACGUCAAGUCAUCAUGGCCCUUACGGCCUGGGCUACACACGUGCUACAAUGGCUAGGACAGACGGCUGCAAACCAGCGAUGGGGAGCUAAUCCGACAAACCUAGUCGUAGUCCGGAUUGGAGUCUGCAACUCGACUCCAUGAAGUCGGAAUUGCUAGUAAUCGCGAAUCAGAAUGUCGCGGUGAAUACGUUCCCGGGCCU